CUGAAACAUGAAACUUAAAAAUAGUAUCUGUAAUAGGGCCCAAUCGACCCAGGCCCAAACAUAAAAAACAGCCCAAAAUAGCCCCUAGCCCAGCAACUAAAGAAAACCUAAGUGAAAAAUAAACCCUAGCCGCAUGUCUGCCCCGACGCCGCCAGCAAGCAUCCAACCGCCGCACGCCUCGGGGCCACUCCUCCACGAACGCUCCGUGAUACCUGCAAACACAGACUCAAAGAGUCCGAGAGAGAAUAAAAUAGCAAAAUAGCAAAUUAUAUUCGUUUUUUGCUUUUGUUUUCGGGCUAUAAAAGGCCCUUCUGUAAUCUGUAAAAGGGGACGGAUAUUGUAUUAACGAAAAUACACAGAGAAAUACACAAGGAAAUUGAAAGAAACACCUACGUUUUUAAGGUGAACCAUUUUUUUAAUAUAGGCUUUUAUUCUUUUUAUUUCAUUUUUUUUGAAGAAAUAAUACAAAAGAAGGGUGAGGGUUUACCUUCAAAGCUUAGCCGAUGAAGCCUAGCCGCGCUCGAAUCGGAGGUCCGGCGGAGGGCCAAGGCUUAAGGCGAAGGUGUGUUGUGGCGGCCUGGGUUUAAAACCCUAGCAGAGGGGUUUUUUUAGUUUUUUC
Molecule: long non-coding RNA, 619 nt
Filed under: Gossypium barbadense (sea-island cotton)
Lineage: Eukaryota; Viridiplantae; Streptophyta; Magnoliopsida; Malvales; Malvaceae
Description: long non-coding RNA (GBAR_LNC018263)
Source: RNAcentral